CUUCACACUAUCCUCCAGUAAAAAAAAAUCAAAUUGAUCAAAUAUUUACAUGUUUACAAAUGAAAUAAUUUAAUAGUAUAAGACAGCAUAGAUUCAUUUUAUAUUAUCUCAUGUAGGUAAGACUUCUUUAAUCAUAACUCAAUACAUAAGCCAUAAAAGACUGACAAAUUCAAAUUUAUAAAAACGGUGUGCUUGACAAUAACAUGUUUUUAAAAUCAUAACCGAAGUAAGUGACCAAUGAAAAUGUUGGAAAUUGUAUCUGCAGCUCAGACAACUGAAAAAGGACUAAUCUGCUUAUAGAUGGAGAGCUAACAGAAGUGGAGAGACAAAGACCUGUCCACGAGAAGUCUCAUGCCCCUUCCUUCACUCUGACACCUCCUUAACAUGCUCCUGAAAUGUCAGCAUCAUGAGACAUGAGCUACACAAUGAUGCAGUAUGGGAAUUAAGAGAAUCUGGAAUUGUGGAGCAGACUUCGCAAGGCUUCUCUGACCUCUGCCUCCCGCUCUGGGAUCUGUGAAACACACUGGGCUCUUCUUCUAGACCUCCCUUUUUGAAGCUCCUCCAAAGACCGUUUCAUCAUCUCUACUCAACAGUCUCCUCAGGAAAUUGCCUCUUCAGUAGGCAAAUGUCACUUGCCACAAACUUAUCUUUGGCAUGAGGAUAAGACAGUGCUAAGGUAGAACUGUCUGUACCUUCUUUGGGUUUACAUUGUGAUAACUGCAAGGAGAAAAAUAAAUUGGGCUGAGUGGAUAGAAAA
This 757-nucleotide long non-coding RNA is filed under the name Homo sapiens (human). RNAcentral describes it as "HSALNT0333546". Lineage: Eukaryota; Metazoa; Chordata; Mammalia; Primates; Hominidae. The record is from RNAcentral.